Molecule: ribosomal RNA, 433 nt
Filed under: uncultured bacterium
Lineage: Bacteria
Description: partial 16S ribosomal RNA
Rfam family: Bacterial small subunit ribosomal RNA
Source: RNAcentral
AGCGAACGCUGGCGGCAGGCCUAACACAUGCAAGUCGAACGAACUCUUCGGAGUUAGUGGCGGACGGGUGAGUAACACGUGGGAACGUGCCUUUUGGUUCGGAAUAACUCAGGGAAACUUGUGCUAAUACCGAAUGUGCCCUUCGGGGGAAAGAUUUAUCGCCAUUAGAGCGGCCCGCGUCUGAUUAGCUAGUUGGUGAGGUAACGGCUCACCAAGGCGACGAUCAGUAGCUGGUCUGAGAGGAUGACCAGCCACACUGGGACUGAGACGCGGCCCAGACUCCUACGGGAGGCAGCAGUGGGGGAUCUUGCGCAAUGGGCGAAGGCAUGACGCAGCCAUGCCGCGUGAAUGAUGAAGGUCUUAGGAUUGUAAAAUUCUUUCACCGGGGACGAUAAUGACGGUACCCGGAGAAGAAGCCCCGGCUAACUUCGUG